Molecule: long non-coding RNA, 3076 nt
Filed under: Sus scrofa (pig)
Lineage: Eukaryota; Metazoa; Chordata; Mammalia; Artiodactyla; Suidae
Description: lncRNA (ENSSSCG00000047501.1)
Source: RNAcentral
GCCUUGCUCAGUGGGUUAACGAUCCAGCAUUGCUGUGAGCUGUGGUGUGGGUCACAGAUGUGGCUCGGAUCCCACGUUGCUGUGGCUCUGGCAUAGACCGGUGGCUACAGCUCCGAUUGGACCCCUAGCCUGGGAACCUCCAUGCCACAGGAGUGGAUCAAGAAAAAGGUAAAAAAAAAAAAGGCAAUGAACCCUAGAUUUAUUGACUUUGAUAUAAACUGGUUUAACCAAUGGAUCUGGUAGUCUUUCUAAAUACCCAGCCAGCUAGCUGAAAUUAGCCACCCACAACUACUCCCCAGCCCCUGGGGUGCACUGAACUGUGUUCCCAAAAGAGCUGUGUGUCUUAACUCCCAGUUACUGUGAAUAGGAACUUAUAUGGAAAUUGAGUCUUUGCAGAUGUAUGAAAUUAGGAUGAAGUCACCCUGGAUUAAGACGAACCGAGUGAUUGAUGUUCUUAAGAGGAAAGAAAUAUUUAGAGACACAAGGACACAUAAGAAAUAACACCAUGUAAUGCCAGAGACAGAGACUAGAGUUAGAAAGCCACAAACCAAGGAACAUCAGGAUUGCUGGAAACCAGCAGAAGCUAGAAGAGGCCAGGGUUGAUUCUUCCUGGAGUUUUGGAGGAAACUUGGCCCUGCCAACACUUUGAUUAUGGCUUUCCAACUUCUAGAUUAUGAGGGAGUACAUUUCUCUUGUUUUAAGCCCCUCAGUUCAUGGUAAUUUGUUAUGGCAGCCUUAUGAAAUUAACACAUUCCUCAUAGAUUUAAUUUGGAUUUGGGUAAGGAGAGGACUGAAUCCUCGCUGCACCUGUGACCUACACUGCAGCUGUGGCAGCGCCGGAUCCUUUAACCCACUCAGCUGGGCCAGGGAUCAAACCUGCACCCCUGCAGCAACCUGAGCCCCUUCAGUUGGAUCUUGAUACACUGUACCACAGUGGGAAUUCCUAGUGUUUUACUUAUAUGUAAAAUUUCUGAUACAUAGUUCUUACUUUGCCAUUCCAAUGAAUACAGCUAUGAUAUCAUGCCAUCCUUUGUAAUAGCAUACAUCAUUUUCAAAGAACAAUGAUUUUUUAAAAACAUAAUUACCUAUUUCUAUGUAGAGCUUUAAUACAAGGAAGCCUAUAUCUGCAUAUAAUUAAUAUGAUAAAUCAGCGAAUUUUCACAGUGUUUUUACUGAAAUACUAUUUGAGAUACUAUAUGAUAAAUCAGCGAAGUUUCACAGUGUUUUUACUGAAAGACUAUUUGAUACUAUUCAAAUACCUUUUGAGAUUUUACAUAUACAUAUUCACACACAUGCACUCACACAUACAUGUACUCACAAACACACAUGAUAUCAAAGGAACUGAAAUAACUGUUAAUUACUCAAAUAUAUCUUGACAUAUAUAUACAUUUUUAUCCAUCAUAGGCUAAAAAUAUAAGCAUUCCUGGUAACAAUGACCAAGUAGCAAAGGAGAAUGUGGAAAGAUAAAGACUGUUUCUCAUCUCCUUAAGUCAGGAAGAGAAGCUGAAAUCAUCUUAGUGAAAUGAUUGGAUGUGUAAUAGAAUGUUUGUUUUAUGUUCUUUACUUUUUUGUCUUUGUUCUGUUUUCCUUGAAAAACUAUUCUUGAAAAACUUUCAGUAAAACAAGACACACGCAUAUGCACGAACUGCAAAGAUUCAGUGACGUAUUUAUAAAUUUCCGUAUAUAUUGUGUACAUUUAGAACUUUUCAGAAUUAAGAAUACUCAGGUUAAAAAUCUGAAGUGAUAAUUAAAUGAUUAGAUACAAAAUAUUUAGUUAUGUUUAAGAAGUCAAUUUGGUUCAAUUAUCAGCAAUACUGAGUAGAAACCCUAAUGUUAUUUUUACCACCCUUCCACAUCGAUCCAAGUCCUAAUUCUAAGUUUUAACAAACUGUUAUAAAUCUUUCCCCUCCUUUUAAUUCUACUCCAAUUGCCCUAACCAAGAGCUUCUACAUUUACACUAAGGAAAUUACAGUUUCCAUACCUUCUGUGUUGUCAUCAACAAUAACUUUCUAACGCAUAGGCAUUCAGGUUUAAGUCAAGCCAUUCCACAUUUUAGAACUGCUCAGUAGUUGCUUACUGCCUGGAGGCAAAUGUCUAACCAGGCUGAAGUGGACAGGAAGGUCUUCAACUUUUAACCCCCAUCUUUAUUCCUAGACUCAUCGAUCAUCACUCCUUCCAGUCACGUGGGGCUCUACAUCAUUUUCCAAUAAUUUUAGAUCUUGAGAUAGUCUCAGAGCUCUUGCCCGUAUUUUUGCUUUUGCUUAGAAUCUUCCUUAAAACUUGUGUAACUGUGCUAAUCCUCCCACAACUCCAAUCUUCCCAGCUUUACGAAAUUUCAUCACUAAACCCUCUGUGCUCCCACAGCAUUAUUUCAUAUCACUAUCAAAGUAUUUCCCUUGCUUUCCUUGUAUUAUGAUUCUCAAUAUUCUAUUCCUCCAUCAGAUUCUGAUAUUUUUAGGGCAUUAACUAAAUUAUUUAUGACAUAUUCUUGGAACCCAUAAAAGCACCUUAAACAUAGUUUUUGUUCAGUAUAAAUAUUCAUUUCUAAUUCAAAAUAGGGAGCAGCGUGGAUUGGGAGCUUGGGGUUAAUAGAUGCAAGCUAUUGCCUUUGGAAUGGAUUAGCAAGGAGAUCCUGCUGUGUAGCACUGGGAACUAUGUCUAGUCACUCAUGAUGGAGCAUGAUAAUGUGAGAAAAGAGAAUGUGUAUAUGUAUGUGUAACUGGGCCACCAUGCUAUACAGUAGAAAAAAAAACUGUAUUAGGGAAAUAAUAAUUUUAAAAUAAAUAAAUAAUCAAGAAGAAAAAGAAAUAAUAAUCUCUUUACCACCAUAUAAGAAGUUAAAAAAUGGGAGUUCUGUCAUGGAUCAGCAGAAACAAAUCUGACUAGCAUCCAUGAAGAUGCAGUUAAAUCCCUGGCCUUGCUCAGUGGGUUAAGGAUCCAGUGUGGCCAUGAGCUGUGAUGUAGGUCACAGAUGUGGCUUGGAUCUGGCGUUGCUGUGGAUGCGGUGUAAGCUGGUAGCUACAGCUCCUUUUGGACCCCUAGCCUGGGAACCUCCAUAUGCCAUGGGUGCAGUUCU